UACAGGGGGUGCAACCGUUGCUCGGAAUCAUUGGGCGUAAAGCGCACGUAGGCGGUCUGUUAUGUCGGAUGUGAAAGCCCUUGGCUUAACUGAGGAAGUGCAUCCGAAACUGGCAGGCUAGAGUACUAAAGAGGGUCGCGGAAUUCCCGGUGUAGAGGUGAAAUUCGUAGAUAUCGGGAGGAACACCGGCGGCGAAGGCGGCGACCUGGGUAGAUACUGACGCUGAGGUGCGAAAGCGUGGGGAGCAAACAGG
This 253-nucleotide ribosomal RNA is filed under the name uncultured bacterium. RNAcentral's name for it is "partial 16S ribosomal RNA". It matches the Rfam family "Bacterial small subunit ribosomal RNA", at positions 524 to 776 of the family's 1533-position model. The record is from RNAcentral.